Molecule: ribosomal RNA, 253 nt
Filed under: uncultured bacterium
Lineage: Bacteria
Description: partial 16S ribosomal RNA
Rfam family: Bacterial small subunit ribosomal RNA
Source: RNAcentral
UACGUAGGGGGCAAGCGUUGUCCGGAAUUAUUGGGCGUAAAGAGCUCGUAGGCGGUCCUUUAAGUCGGAUGUGAAAUCUCAGGGCUCAACCCUGAAACUGCACCCGAUACUGAAGGACUUGAGGCAGGUAGGGGAAGGUGGAAUUCCUGGUGUAGCGGUGAAAUGCGCAGAUAUCAGGAGGAACACCCGUGGCGAAGGCGGCCUUCUGGGCCUGUUCUGACGCUGAGGAGCGAAAGCGUGGGGAGCAAACAGG